RNAcentral lists this ribosomal RNA (373 nucleotides) under uncultured bacterium. RNAcentral's name for it is "bacterial SSU rRNA". It matches the Rfam family "Bacterial small subunit ribosomal RNA", at positions 521 to 896 of the family's 1533-position model. The record is from RNAcentral.
UAAUACGGAGGGUGCAAGCGUUAUCCGGAUUUACUGGGUUUAAAGGGUGCGUAGGUGGGCAGUUAAGUCAGUGGUGAAAUCUCCGAGCUUAACUCGGAAACUGCCAUUGAUACUAUCUGUCUUGAAUGUUCUGGAGGUGAGCGGAAUAUGUCAUGUAGCGGUGAAAUGCUUAGAUAUGACAUAGAACACCAAUUGCGAAGGCAGCUCACUACGGGAUUAUUGACACUGAGGCACGAAAGCGUGGGGAUCAAACAGGAUUAGAUACCCUGGUAGUCCACGCCCUAAACGAUGGAUACUCGACAUACGCGAUAUACAGUGUGUGUCUGAGCGAAAGCAUUAAGUAUCCCACCUGGGAAGUACGAUCGCAAGAUUG